CUGGAGUAGCUCCUUAUAGAACAGGGUUUCUCUCCUGGAUGUAUAAUUUAGGAGAUGGGAAUUUUUACAGCCUCCGAAAUUACGCGUCGGCUCCAACAGAUGUCUAACUGUGCGGACGAGGGUCAUUCUGACUGGUCUGUGGAGAACUGGCUGAGUGGGUUUGAAAAAGACAAGAGACAUAUUUAUAAGAGUCCAGUGAGCAAAUGAAGAUAUUCCAGGUAAGGGUGUUGUAAGUGGGUUCAAAUAGAAAUGGAAUAAU
RNAcentral lists this long non-coding RNA (259 nucleotides) under Homo sapiens (human). Its description in RNAcentral is "HSALNT0095356". Lineage: Eukaryota; Metazoa; Chordata; Mammalia; Primates; Hominidae. The record is from RNAcentral.